UUGUUCAGAGUGCAGGAGGUUUUUGUACGGCCAGUUAAUGAAUUUGUAUCACUGUGGUACACUUUUGGUGGAGGAACCAAACUCAUCGUUGACUCGGGUGUGGUGAGGCCCACUCUGACCGUGCUCCCACACCAGAGCAGUGGCACUCUGGUGUGUCUGGCCAGUGGGGGUUUCCCAUUAAAUUGGAAGCUGGGCUGGAAGGUGGGGGGCACCAGCACAUCCUCAGGGGUGUCAAACAGCUUGGAGGCCCAGGGUACAGACGGCCGCUACAGCUGGAGCAGCACCCUGAGCCUCUCUGCAGACCAGUGGAGGAAGGCGGGCUCAGUGACCUGUGAGGCCAGUCUGAGUGGACAGAGCCCUGUCACUCAAACCCUGGACCCUGCCCACUGCUCAGAGUAGAGCUUCAACAAUAUUUCAUGGCUGUGAAGCAUUUUAUAUUUUGAUGAAGCUACAUAUCUCCUCUGUUGCGAUAUUUCUGCAGAUGUUUGACUCUCUAUUAAUCUAAAUGCAGAAUUCAUCAGCUAUUCAUAUUAUAUUGUGCUUUAAAACCAUGCUGUAAGAAAGAAAACAAGUCUAUAUCACAAAAUAAAAUUGCAGUUUAUGAAAAAUCA
Non-coding RNA from Oreochromis niloticus (Nile tilapia), 611 nucleotides. Lineage: Eukaryota; Metazoa; Chordata; Actinopteri; Cichliformes; Cichlidae. The record is from the annotation of a RefSeq genome assembly.